GAGGAUCUGCUCCUAGUACGAGAGGACCAGAGUGGACGAACCUCUGGUGUACCGGUUGUGACGCCAGUCGCAUCGCCGGGUAGCUAUGUUCGGAAGGGAUAACCGCUGAAAGCAUCUAAGCGGGAAGCCUACCUCAAGAUAAGAUUUCCCCGAGGCUUUAUGCCUCCUAAAGAGCCGUUGAAGACUACGACGUUGAUAGGUUGGAUGUGGAAGCAUAGCGAUAUGUGAAGCUGACCAAUACUAAUUGCUCGUGAGGCUUGACUAUACAACACCCAAACAGUUG
RNAcentral lists this ribosomal RNA (283 nucleotides) under Acinetobacter towneri. Its description in RNAcentral is "partial 23S ribosomal RNA". It matches the Rfam family "Bacterial large subunit ribosomal RNA", at positions 2666 to 2925 of the family's 2925-position model. Lineage: Bacteria; Pseudomonadati; Pseudomonadota; Gammaproteobacteria; Moraxellales; Moraxellaceae. The record is from RNAcentral.